UCGAGGAAGCCACGGCUAACUACGUGCCAGCAGCCGCGGUAAUACGUAGGUGGCGAGCGUUGUCCGGAAUUAUUGGGCGUAAAGGGAGCGCAGGUGGGAAAGUAAGUCAGUCUUAAAAGUGCGGGGCUCAACCCCGUGAGGGGAUUGAAACUACUUUUCUUGAGUGCAGGAGAGGAAAGCGGAAUUCCUAGUGUAGCGGUGAAAUGCGUAGAUAUUAGGAGGAACACCAGUGGCGAAGGCGGCUUUCUGGACUGUAACUGACACUGAGGCUCGAAAGCCAGGGGAGCGAACGGGAUUAGAUACCCCGGUAGUCCUGGCCGUAAACGAUGGAUACUAGGUGUAGGAGGUAUCGACCCCUUCUGUGCCGGAGUUAACGCAAUAAGUAUCCCGCCUGGGGAGUACGGUCGCAAGACUGCAACUCAAAUGA
This 427-nucleotide ribosomal RNA is filed under the name uncultured organism. Its description in RNAcentral is "bacterial SSU rRNA". It matches the Rfam family "Bacterial small subunit ribosomal RNA", at positions 482 to 908 of the family's 1533-position model. The record is from RNAcentral.